This 216-nucleotide ribosomal RNA is filed under the name Glomeromycotina sp. RNAcentral's name for it is "partial small subunit ribosomal RNA". The stretch from base 40 to 216 matches the Rfam family "Eukaryotic small subunit ribosomal RNA", at positions 686 to 864 of the family's 1831-position model. The record is from RNAcentral. Lineage: Eukaryota; Fungi; Glomeromycota.
GGGUCAGUAGGUUGGUCGUGCCACCGGUACGUACUGGUCUCACUGAUUCCUCCUUCCUGAAGAACCGUAAUGCCAUUAAUUUGGUGUUGCGGGGAAACAGGACUGUUACUUUGAAAAAAUUAGAGGGUUUAAAGCAAGCUAACGCUUGAAUACAUUAGCAUGGAAUAAUGAAAAAGGACGAACGAUCCUAUUUUGUUGGUUUCUAGGAUUGACGUA